Long non-coding RNA from Rhinolophus ferrumequinum (greater horseshoe bat), 1993 nucleotides. RefSeq lists it as uncharacterized. Lineage: Eukaryota; Metazoa; Chordata; Mammalia; Chiroptera; Rhinolophidae. The transcript is spliced from 4 exons. The record is from RefSeq and is a predicted model, not a curated record.
UUUGCACAGCCACGGGUGUAUCCUCUAAGCCACAGGGCACAGGCUUCUGUCAGCAUCAGCAUAUUGUUUUCCUUUAAUCACGACCUUGUGGUCAUUUUAGGAGGCAGCUCCUGUCCUACAGCAAAUCCUUUCGCCUCGCCAAACCAGCUCUGCUCAGCCAUUGUUUAUUCAUAAAAUGGUGUGUAUAUUCGUGGGGAACUUAGAUGGCCUUUCCAUUUAUUGGGGUCUUGAAGAUGGAGCCAUCCUUAUCUGCAGCUCCAGCAGUAUCUUGGUGACUGCAGUGCUGGCCCUUUAGCGGUGAAGGGUGUGGGCUCAAUUCCCAGGACGGGAGGAAGACUUGCUGGCCCUGGCAGACUGAAGUGAACCUACAGGUCUUUGUGAAAGGUGUAUGAGCUCUGGGGAAACACCUGAUGGCCCCUGGAGCUAGCGCUAGAACCAAAGAAUGUAAAUUUUGGUGGACUGCUGUAUCUUCAACUCCUUCAACAGUGCCAGGCACCCAGUAGGCCCUCAAUCAGCAUUUGUUGAAUGAACAUAUGAAGAAGUGAGUCAAAGAUCUCUAUCUUUGGGACCUUGGUGAGAGUUUCACCCUUCGAUAUUUACAGAAGAGAGUAAAAAUUUUGGAGGCAAAUUUGUGUAAACUCUUCUUUUUAAAAAUACAUCACCACACUUUAUAGUCUCUCACACAAUGCUGGACUGACUGGCAAAAGCCUAGGAUAUGAGUGACACCGUCCUGAUGUGUCCAUUCAUCGUGUGAGUCGGCACCAGCACUUCCAGCCUUCCUUCAGCUGCCCAGGUAGAGUCCCACUAGGUGAAAAGGGGCGUUGAACAGUCUUUCCGACUGGUUGGAAAAACUCCAGGAUAUAAAACGCAACAAUGGCAGCAUCUAAAGAUGAAGAUCCAGAGAGUCCAUGGGCAUCUUGCACCAAAAGCCCCCUGACGUCCCUAGAAUUGCAUGGCUGGAAUUGAAUGGGGAUAGAGUGGGGCAGAGGGCUUACUCUCUAGGUUUGAUGUGUUUUGGGAGCUGAAGGAUAAUGUGGCAGUGAAUGAGGGCCUUUCCAUUUUUAUCCUUGGGCUGUGGUGCUGGAGAUGGAGUUGGGCGAUGGAACCUACACCCCUAGCCCAGCCUCACAGACUAGAGCAAAGCUCAUGAGGACAGCAGGGCGGGUGCAGAAGGAUGGACUUAUGGGCCCCUGGGAACAAGCAAUGCUGCUCUGAGGCCAGGUGAUGGGGUGACAUCAGUGAGGGAAGGGGCACGCUCUCUCUUUGUACAACCCCAUUGUAGCGAGACUUCAGGGGCUCCUGGGGGCCACUGGACACAGGGUCACAAGUGAGACUCUACUCAGAGGUCACAGGCCCUGGAUAUCAUUGCAUCUAUGAGCACAUGUGGACAUCUGAGAGAGUGUUCUAGAAGUAUAGUGGAGAGAGAGGUAGAUCCUGCAGGGGUCGCAGGUCAGGUAGUGCAGGAUGAUCGAUGAGCAGUGCACCGGGGACAUGGGGAGCCCUUGGAGAACGGGAAGGAAAUAAACAAAUCCGGCCUGCACACUAUGAUUUGGUGGCAAACUAAAGAAAGCUCUCCAAAGGGAGGCAUUUCUCUUUUAGUUUGAAAUUUACUGGUAAAAAUAGUCAAGCCCAGAGUUGAGGGAAAAAAAUAGCUUUUAACUUAACCCGAUACAUUUGAUUUUGAAGUAGAGAGGUCAGCAUCAUGGAAACACCAACUCUAAAUCAGAUUUCAUCCAAGUUAUAUGUAGACAAAUACUAUACUACCACAAGUCUACACAUCUCAUUUCCUUUUCUGUCUUGUCCUCCAUUUAAUAACCCGAAAAUCUAUCUUUUUAUUGAGUUUCACGCUAUUUUCUUACUUACAUACAAUAGUGCUACUCUUACCAAUUGCCUGUUGUCAUGGCACAUUAGUUAGGUGAAUUUGUUGAUAUUUCUGUAUUUUUUAUUCUAUCAUCCAGUUUAAACAAGUGAUUGGGAGCACUCCUCUGAUGAA